UACGUAGGGGGCGAGCGUUGUCCGGAUUUAUUGGGCGUAAAGGGCUCGUAGGCGGUUUGGCAAGUCGGGUGUGAAAACUCCGGGCUCAACUCGGAGACGCCACUCGAUACUGCCAUGACUCGAGUCCGGUAGGGGAGUGCGGAAUUCCUGGUGUAGCGGUGAAAUGCGCAGAUAUCAGGAGGAACACCGGUGGCGAAGGCGGCACUCUGGGCCGGUACUGACGCUGAGGAGCGAAAGCGUGGGGAGCGAACAGG
Molecule: ribosomal RNA, 254 nt
Filed under: uncultured bacterium
Lineage: Bacteria
Description: partial 16S ribosomal RNA
Rfam family: Bacterial small subunit ribosomal RNA
Source: RNAcentral